Molecule: long non-coding RNA, 632 nt
Filed under: Salvia miltiorrhiza (redroot sage)
Lineage: Eukaryota; Viridiplantae; Streptophyta; Magnoliopsida; Lamiales; Lamiaceae
Description: long non-coding RNA (SMIL_LNC010101)
Source: RNAcentral
GUUGUGGAUAUCUCGCCCCGCCGUCGAUUCACCGUUCUCGCACGCCGAAGCCUAAUUUUUAUUUCUUUCCUGAAGCUCAGCUGCACUCGGAACUCUUGCGAAGACCACGCACACGUUAGCUCACUGAUUGUUCGAGCUAGACGUGCUCUUUAGUUUCCUACACAAAGAGAAAACACCAAGAGACUAAGUUAGAAGGUGCAGCUGCAACAGAGAGAUAAAGUAACAGGAAAUAGAAGAGAUGGGGCAGCUGAGUGGCUGCCCGGAAACGGAGCAGCAGCGGCUGUCCGGAAACGACGCGGAGCAGCUGUCGGAGACGACGCAGCGGCAGCUGGCGAGACGGCGCAGCAGUGGCAGCUGGCGAGACGACGCAGCAGCGGCAGCUGGCAAGACGACGCAGCAGCGGCUCUCUCCUCGGCUCAGAUCUCGGUCUCUCUCAAACCCAAAUGUAGUCCUCCUCCGGCAGCACCUCGUUCCGGCAACUCCACUGCCAAAUCACCCUCAACCUCACUCAGGCUAAUCCACGCAGAGAUAGCUCAGUUCGGACGAAGAAGACACACACAAGCACUAAGCUUGUUCACACUUCGCCCAAGACACGGAGAUGACAGGAGGUAUGGUGAAGGCACAGGCAAGGC